RNAcentral lists this long non-coding RNA (830 nucleotides) under Capsicum annuum. RNAcentral describes it as "long non-coding RNA (CANN_LNC008959)". The record is from RNAcentral. Lineage: Eukaryota; Viridiplantae; Streptophyta; Magnoliopsida; Solanales; Solanaceae.
CCCCCCCCCCCCCCCCUCUCCUCUCUUUCUUUCUCCAAAAUAAUGAAGCAAUGAGUCCUUAUAUAAGACCAAAUUAGGGGUUUUUAGGGAUUCCACAAAUAGGAUAUUUUUGAAUUUGAAAUUCAAAUUUCCCAUUUGGCUUGGGGUUUCAUCAACAAGGACCCCUAUUUUGGAUUAUCUUCAACUGAUUUCCAAGAAAGGCCAAUAGAAAAUGGGGGAAAUGGAAUAGUCUCCCCCAAACCAAUAAAAAUGGCCCAAAUAUGUCCCAAAUUUGUACCUUCAUCCCGAGAUUCGCGGAUUUGAGCCAUUGGAGGUGACACCUAAGCUAUUUUUUAGAAGCUUCACAGUUCUUCUUCGUUGUAAUAUCGCGUGAGACGCGUGUGAGAAUGAUCGUGUCGGGUUUUUCGGAUCGUUGGCGAGUUGUUGGGGGUGUUAUCGGGUCCUUGGAUUUGGGUGGAGAGUUGUUGUUGUUUGUGGUCGAAGGUUGUAUGCUGAUUGUCAAAUCAAAAAUUGGAAGAUGAUAUUAUUGUUUUGGCUGAUGGAGAGGAAAUAUAUGGGAUGGGCCGGGUUGGAAGGUUGUUGUUGGGCUGAAAUAAAAUGAUAAUUCAAAAGAAACUGGGUUGCUGGUGGGCUGAAAUUGUUGCUAUGUUAAAUUGGGCUGGUUAGGUUGAUUAUUGUUGGGUUGUUGUGUUGGGCUUGGGAAAUUGCGGAUUAAUUUAAACUAAACCUCAAUUAAAUUAUGAUAUGGAUAGGUUAGGCUAUUUUGGCUAUUUAUUAAAUAGCCAAAAGAAAGAAACUUUAGGCAAUUUCAUUUAAUAUUUAGCCUAAUU